CCUACGGGAGGCAGCAGUAGGGAAUAUUGCUCAAUGGGGGAAACCCUGAAGCAGCAACGCCGCGUGCAGGAUGAAGGUUUUCGGAUUGUAAACUCCUUUUGUUAGAGAAGAUAAUGACGUUAUCUAACGAAUAAUCACCGGCUAACUCCGUUCCAGCCGCCACGGUAAUACGGCGGGUGCAGGCGUUACUAGGAAUCACUGGGCGUAAAGAGCGCGUAGGCGGGAUAGCAAGUCAGAUGUGAAAAUCUAGGGCUUAACCAUAGAACUGCAUUUGAAACUGUUAUUCUAGAGUAUGCGAGAGGCAGGUGGAAUUCUUGGUGUAGGGGUAAAAUCCGUAGAGAUCAAGAGGAAUACUGAUUGCGAAGGCGGCCUGCUAGAGCGGAACUGACGCUGAUGCGCGAAAGCGUGGGGAGCAAACAGGAUUAGAUACCCUAGUAGUC
Molecule: ribosomal RNA, 440 nt
Filed under: uncultured bacterium
Lineage: Bacteria
Description: partial 16S ribosomal RNA
Rfam family: Bacterial small subunit ribosomal RNA
Source: RNAcentral